This 253-nucleotide ribosomal RNA is filed under the name uncultured bacterium. Its description in RNAcentral is "partial 16S ribosomal RNA". It matches the Rfam family "Bacterial small subunit ribosomal RNA", at positions 524 to 776 of the family's 1533-position model. The record is from RNAcentral.
UACGAAGGGGGCUAGCGUUGCUCGGAAUCACUGGGCGUAAAGGGUGCGUAGGCGGGUUUUUAAGUCAGAGGUGAAAUCCUGGAGCUCAACUCCAGAACUGCCUUUGAUACUGAGAAUCUUGAGUAUGGGAGAGGUGAGUGGAACUGCGAGUGUAGAGGUGAAAUUCGUAGAUAUUCGCAAGAACACCAGUUGCGAAGGCGGCCGACUGGACACAUAUUGACGCUGAGGCUCGAAAGCAUGGGGAGCAAACAGG